This 76-nucleotide transfer RNA is filed under the name Palleronia aestuarii. RNAcentral's name for it is "Hwanghaeicola aestuarii tRNA-Lys". It matches the Rfam family "tRNA". From Rfam's summary of the family: Transfer RNA (tRNA) molecules are approximately 80 nucleotides in length. Their secondary structure includes four short double-helical elements and three loops (D, anti-codon, and T loops). Further hydrogen bonds mediate the characteristic L-shaped molecular structure. tRNAs have two regions of fundamental functional importance: the anti-codon, which is responsible for specific mRNA codon recognition, and the 3' end, to which the tRNAs corresponding amino acid is attached (by aminoacyl-tRNA synthetases). tRNAs cope with the degeneracy of the genetic code in two manners: having more than one tRNA (with a specific anti-codon) for a particular amino acid; and 'wobble' base-pairing, i.e. permitting non-standard base-pairing at the 3rd anti-codon position. RNAcentral also lists the same sequence under 2 other names. The record is from RNAcentral. Lineage: Bacteria; Pseudomonadati; Pseudomonadota; Alphaproteobacteria; Rhodobacterales; Roseobacteraceae.
GAGCCGGUAGCUCAGUUGGUAGAGCAACUGACUUUUAAUCAGUAGGUCCAGGGUUCGAGCCCCUGCCGGCUCACCA